CAGGCCUAACACAUGCAAGUCGAGCGAGGUCUUCGGACCUAGCGGCGGACGGGUGAGUAACGCGUGGGAACGUGCCCUUCCCUGCCGGAUAGUCCCUGGAAACGGGGUUUAAUACGGCAUACGCCCUUCGGGGGAAAGAAUUUCGGGGAAGGAUCGGCCCGCGUCUGAUUAGGUAGUUGGUGGGGUAAUGGCCUACCAAGCCGACGAUCAGUAGCUGGUUUUAGAGGAUGAUCAGCCGCACUGGGACUGAGACACGGCCCAGACUCCUACGGGAGGCAGCAGUGGGGAAUCUUAGACAAUGGGCGCAAGCCUGAUCUAGCCAUGCCGCGUGUGUGAUGAAGGCCUUAGGGUCGUAAAGCACUUUCGCCAGGGAUGAUAAUGACAGUACCUGGUAAAGAAACCCCGGCUAACUCCGUGCCAGCAGCCGCGGUAAUACGGAGGGGGUUAGCGUUGUUCGGAAUUACUGGGCGUAAAGCGCGCGUAGGCGGACUGGAAAGUUGGGGGUGAAAUCCCGGGGCUCAACCUCGGAACUGCCUUCAAAACUAUCAGUCUAGAGUUCGAGAGAGGUGAGUGGAACUCCGAGUGUAGAGGUGAAAUUCGUAGAUAUUCGGAAGAACACCAGUGGCGAAGGCGGCUCACUGGCUCGAUA
This 649-nucleotide ribosomal RNA is filed under the name uncultured bacterium. RNAcentral's name for it is "bacterial SSU rRNA". It matches the Rfam family "Bacterial small subunit ribosomal RNA", at positions 43 to 739 of the family's 1533-position model. The record is from RNAcentral.